UGCCAGCAGCCGCGGUAAGACGGAGGGCGCAAACGUUGUUCGGCAUUAUUGGGCGUAAAGCGCGUGUAGGCGGAUUAGUAAGUUAGGGGUGAAAUCCCGGGGCUCAACCCCGGAACUGCCUCUAAUACUGCUAGUCUUGAGUUCGAGAGAGGUGAGUGGAAUUCCGAGUGUAGAGGUGAAAUUCGUAGAUAUUCGGAGGAACACCAGUGGCGAAGGCGGCUUUCUGGACCGAUACUGACGCUGAGACGCGAAAGCGUGGGGAGCAAACAGGAUUAGAUA
RNAcentral lists this ribosomal RNA (279 nucleotides) under uncultured bacterium. RNAcentral describes it as "partial 16S ribosomal RNA". It matches the Rfam family "Bacterial small subunit ribosomal RNA", at positions 506 to 784 of the family's 1533-position model. The record is from RNAcentral.